RNAcentral lists this ribosomal RNA (2904 nucleotides) under Escherichia coli. Its description in RNAcentral is "23S ribosomal RNA". It matches the Rfam family "Bacterial large subunit ribosomal RNA". Lineage: Bacteria; Pseudomonadati; Pseudomonadota; Gammaproteobacteria; Enterobacterales; Enterobacteriaceae. The record is from RNAcentral.
GGUUAAGCGACUAAGCGUACACGGUGGAUGCCCUGGCAGUCAGAGGCGAUGAAGGACGUGCUAAUCUGCGAUAAGCGUCGGUAAGGUGAUAUGAACCGUUAUAACCGGCGAUUUCCGAAUGGGGAAACCCAGUGUGAUUCGUCACACUAUCAUUAACUGAAUCCAUAGGUUAAUGAGGCGAACCGGGGGAACUGAAACAUCUAAGUACCCCGAGGAAAAGAAAUCAACCGAGAUUCCCCCAGUAGCGGCGAGCGAACGGGGAGCAGCCCAGAGCCUGAAUCAGUGUGUGUGUUAGUGGAAGCGUCUGGAAAGGCGCGCGAUACAGGGUGACAGCCCCGUACACAAAAAUGCACAUGCUGUGAGCUCGAUGAGUAGGGCGGGACACGUGGUAUCCUGUCUGAAUAUGGGGGGACCAUCCUCCAAGGCUAAAUACUCCUGACUGACCGAUAGUGAACCAGUACCGUGAGGGAAAGGCGAAAAGAACCCCGGCGAGGGGAGUGAAAAAGAACCUGAAACCGUGUACGUACAAGCAGUGGGAGCCUCUUUAUGGGGUGACUGCGUACCUUUUGUAUAAUGGGUCAGCGACUUAUAUUCUGUAGCAAGGUUAACCGAAUAGGGGAGCCGAAGGGAAACCGAGUCUUAACUGGGCGUUAAGUUGCAGGGUAUAGACCCGAAACCCGGUGAUCUAGCCAUGGGCAGGUUGAAGGUUGGGUAACACUAACUGGAGGACCGAACCGACUAAUGUUGAAAAAUUAGCGGAUGACUUGUGGCUGGGGGUGAAAGGCCAAUCAAACCGGGAGAUAGCUGGUUCUCCCCGAAAGCUAUUUAGGUAGCGCCUCGUGAAUUCAUCUCCGGGGGUAGAGCACUGUUUCGGCAAGGGGGUCAUCCCGACUUACCAACCCGAUGCAAACUGCGAAUACCGGAGAAUGUUAUCACGGGAGACACACGGCGGGUGCUAACGUCCGUCGUGAAGAGGGAAACAACCCAGACCGCCAGCUAAGGUCCCAAAGUCAUGGUUAAGUGGGAAACGAUGUGGGAAGGCCCAGACAGCCAGGAUGUUGGCUUAGAAGCAGCCAUCAUUUAAAGAAAGCGUAAUAGCUCACUGGUCGAGUCGGCCUGCGCGGAAGAUGUAACGGGGCUAAACCAUGCACCGAAGCUGCGGCAGCGACACUAUGUGUUGUUGGGUAGGGGAGCGUUCUGUAAGCCUGCGAAGGUGGCCUGUGAGGGUUGCUGGAGGUAUCAGAAGUGCGAAUGCUGACAUAAGUAACGAUAAAGCGGGUGAAAAGCCCGCUCGCCGGAAGACCAAGGGUUCCUGUCCAACGUUAAUCGGGGCAGGGUGAGUCGACCCCUAAGGCGAGGCCGAAAGGCGUAGUCGAUGGGAAACAGGUUAAUAUUCCUGUACUUGGUGUUACUGCGAAGGGGGGACGGAGAAGGCUAUGUUGGCCGGGCGACGGUUGUCCCGGUUUAAGCGUGUAGGCUGGUUUUCCAGGCAAAUCCGGAAAAUCAAGGCUGAGGCGUGAUGACGAGGCACUACGGUGCUGAAGCAACAAAUGCCCUGCUUCCAGGAAAAGCCUCUAAGCAUCAGGUAACAUCAAAUCGUACCCCAAACCGACACAGGUGGUCAGGUAGAGAAUACCAAGGCGCUUGAGAGAACUCGGGUGAAGGAACUAGGCAAAAUGGUGCCGUAACUUCGGGAGAAGGCACGCUGAUAUGUAGGUGAAGUCCCUCGCGGAUGGAGCUGAAAUCAGUCGAAGAUACCAGCUGGCUGCAACUGUUUAUUAAAAACACAGCACUGUGCAAACACGAAAGUGGACGUAUACGGUGUGACGCCUGCCCGGUGCCGGAAGGUUAAUUGAUGGGGUUAGCGGUAACGCGAAGCUCUUGAUCGAAGCCCCGGUAAACGGCGGCCGUAACUAUAACGGUCCUAAGGUAGCGAAAUUCCUUGUCGGGUAAGUUCCGACCUGCACGAAUGGCGUAAUGAUGGCCAGGCUGUCUCCACCCGAGACUCAGUGAAAUUGAACUCGCUGUGAAGAUGCAGUGUACCCGCGGCAAGACGGAAAGACCCCGUGAACCUUUACUAUAGCUUGACACUGAACAUUGAGCCUUGAUGUGUAGGAUAGGUGGGAGGCUUUGAAGUGUGGACGCCAGUCUGCAUGGAGCCGACCUUGAAAUACCACCCUUUAAUGUUUGAUGUUCUAACGUUGGCCCCUGAUCGGGGUUGCGGACAGUGUCUGGUGGGUAGUUUGACUGGGGCGGUCUCCUCCUAAAGAGUAACGGAGGAGCACGAAGGUUGGCUAAUCCUGGUCGGACAUCAGGAGGUUAGUGCAAUGGCAUAAGCCAGCUUGACUGCGAGCGUGACGGCGCGAGCAGGUGCGAAAGCAGGUCAUAGUGAUCCGGUGGUUCUGAAUGGAAGGGCCAUCGCUCAACGGAUAAAAGGUACUCCGGGGAUAACAGGCUGAUACCGCCCAAGAGUUCAUAUCGACGGCGGUGUUUGGCACCUCGAUGUCGGCUCAUCACAUCCUGGGGCUGAAGUAGGUCCCAAGGGUAUGGCUGUUCGCCAUUUAAAGUGGUACGCGAGCUGGGUUUAGAACGUCGUGAGACAGUUCGGUCCCUAUCUGCCGUGGGCGCUGGAGAACUGAGGGGGGCUGCUCCUAGUACGAGAGGACCGGAGUGGACGCAUCACUGGUGUUCGGGUUGUCAUGCCAAUGGCACUGCCCGGUAGCUAAAUGCGGAAGAGAUAAGUGCUGAAAGCAUCUAAGCACGAAACUUGCCCCGAGAUGAGUUCUCCCUGACUCCUUGAGAGUCCUGAAGGAACGUUGAAGACGACGACGUUGAUAGGCCGGGUGUGUAAGCGCAGCGAUGCGUUGAGCUAACCGGUACUAAUGAACCGUGAGGCUUAACCUU